RNAcentral lists this ribosomal RNA (172 nucleotides) under uncultured bacterium. Its description in RNAcentral is "partial 16S ribosomal RNA". It matches the Rfam family "Bacterial small subunit ribosomal RNA", at positions 349 to 527 of the family's 1533-position model. The record is from RNAcentral.
CAGCAGUGGGGAAUAUUGCACAAUGGGCGCAAGCCUGAUGCAGCGACGCCGCGUGCGGGAUGACGGCCUUCGGGUUGUAAACCGCUUUUGUACUGGGAGCAAGCCCUUCGGGGUGAUGUGUACCUUUCGAAUAAGCACCGGCUAACUACGUGCCAGCAGCCGCGGUAAUACG